This 74-nucleotide transfer RNA is filed under the name Anaerolineae bacterium. Its description in RNAcentral is "tRNA-Pro". It matches the Rfam family "tRNA". Rfam says of the family: Transfer RNA (tRNA) molecules are approximately 80 nucleotides in length. Their secondary structure includes four short double-helical elements and three loops (D, anti-codon, and T loops). The record is from RNAcentral. Lineage: Bacteria; Bacillati; Chloroflexota; Anaerolineae.
CGGGGCGUAGCGAAGUCUGGUAUCGCGCCACAUUUGGGUUGUGGAGAUCAUGGGUUCGAAUCCCGUCGCCCCGA